RNAcentral lists this ribosomal RNA (550 nucleotides) under uncultured bacterium. RNAcentral describes it as "bacterial SSU rRNA". It matches the Rfam family "Bacterial small subunit ribosomal RNA", at positions 355 to 896 of the family's 1533-position model. The record is from RNAcentral.
UAGGGAAUCUUCGGCAAUGGACGGAAGUCUGACCGAGCAACGCCGCGUGAGUGAAGAAGGUUUUCGGAUCGUAAAGCUCUGUUGUAAGAGAAGAACGAGUGUGAGAGUGGAAAGUUCACACUGUGACGGUAUCUUACCAGAAAGGGACGGCUAACUACGUGCCAGCAGCCGCGGUAAUACGUAGGUCCCGAGCGUUAUCCGGAUUUAUUGGGCGUAAAGCGAGCGCAGGCGGUUAGAUAAGUCUGAAGUUAAAGGCUGUGGCUUAACCAUAGUACGCUUUGGAAACUGUUUAACUUGAGUGCAAGAGGGGAGAGUGGAAUUCCAUGUGUAGCGGUGAAAUGCGUAGAUAUAUGGAGGAACACCGGUGGCGAAGGCGGCUCUCUGGCUUGUAACUGACGCUGAGGCUCGAAAGCGUGGGGAGCAAACAGGAUUAGAUACCCUGGUAGUCCACGCCGUAAACGAUGAGUGCUAGGUGUUAGACCCUUUCCGGGGUUUAGUGCCGUAGCUAACGCAUUAAGCACUCCGCCUGGGGAGUACGACCGCAAGGUUG